RNAcentral lists this unclassified non-coding RNA (259 nucleotides) under uncultured bacterium. RNAcentral's name for it is "contains 16S-23S intergenic spacer region". The record is from RNAcentral.
UGGGCUUGACAUCUUGGGACUCCGAAGAGGGGCCGUGGUUUCUCACGGCUUUCCCCAAGAUGUCAAGCCCAGGUAAGGUUCUUCGCGUUGCGUCGAAUUAAACCACAUGCUCCACCGCUUGUGCGGGCCCCCGUCAAUUCCUUUGAGUUUUAGCCUUGCGGCCGUACUCCCCAGGCGGGGCACUUAGUGCGUUAGCUACGGCACAGAGCCCGUUGAUAAGGCCCCACACCUAGUGCCCAACGUUUACGGCGUGGACUAC